Molecule: ribosomal RNA, 508 nt
Filed under: uncultured bacterium
Lineage: Bacteria
Description: bacterial SSU rRNA
Rfam family: Bacterial small subunit ribosomal RNA
Source: RNAcentral
AGAGUUUGAUCCUGGCUCAGGAUGAACGCUGGCGGCGUGCCUAACACAUGCAAGUCGAACGGGCUUGAUUCUUGGAGGCUUCGGCCAAAGAGGUUCAAGCUAGUGGCGGACGGGUGAGUAACGCGUGGAGAACCUGCCCUGUACUGGGGGAUAACAGUGAGAAAUCACUGCUAAUACCGCAUAAGCGCACGGCACCGCAUGGUGCAGUGUGAAAAACUCCGGUGGUACAGGAUGGCUCCGCGUUGGAUUAGCCAGUUGGCGGGGUAACGGCCCACCAAAGCGACGAUCCAUAGCCGGCCUGAGAGGGUGAACGGCCACAUUGGGACUGAGACACGGCCCAGACUCCUACGGGAGGCAGCAGUGGGGAAUAUUGCACAAUGGGGGGAACCCUGAUGCAGCCGACGCCGCGUGAAGGAUGAAGUAUCUCGGUAUGUAAACUUCUAUCAGCAGGGAAGAUGAUGACGGUACCUGACUAAGAAGCCCCGGCUAACUACGUGCCAGCCGCUGC